This 229-nucleotide ribosomal RNA is filed under the name uncultured bacterium. Its description in RNAcentral is "partial 16S ribosomal RNA". It matches the Rfam family "Bacterial small subunit ribosomal RNA", at positions 568 to 796 of the family's 1533-position model. The record is from RNAcentral.
CUCGUAGGCGGCCUGCCGAGUCUCACGUGAAAGACCAGGGCUCAACCCUGGGAACGCGAGAGAAACUGGCAAGCUGGAAUCUUUGAGGGGGUACUGGAAUUCCUGGUGUAGGGGUGAAAUCUGUUGAUAUCAGGAAGAACACCGGAGGCGAAGGCGAGUACCUGGCAAAUGAUUGACGCUGAUGAGCGAAAGCGUAGGGAGCGAACAGGAUUAGAUACCCUGGUAGUCC